AUCUAGCCCUGAUUGUAACGGCAUCCUUUUGCAAAGCAAAAGAUAUAGUGAAAAGCAGGUUCCCGG
RNAcentral lists this small RNA (66 nucleotides) under Chryseobacterium rhizoplanae. Its description in RNAcentral is "Flavo-1 RNA". It matches the Rfam family "Flavo-1 RNA". The record is from RNAcentral. Lineage: Bacteria; Pseudomonadati; Bacteroidota; Flavobacteriia; Flavobacteriales; Weeksellaceae.